AAACUAAAAAAAUAUUAUAAGUGAUGUGUUGUGCUGUGACGGAAUUGUACAUUAUCCAGGCUGAAACGGACCAACCAACAACAACAAAAACAAACCUCAUUCGGAUGAGAGGUAGGGAUGUGUCCGUUCGGCACUGGACGGUUUUGGACGGACGGAUUAUUGACAAUUGAAGCGGACUAUAAUGAUGAUUCGAAUGAUGUCGCAUGCAGCUGGACUGGAAGUAAAUAUGGACUUCGGCAUGAUACCGGAACGAUUUGGCGGGACAGACGCCGGACGGACUGCUGCCUUGGUGACUCGGAAUUGCCUCAAACGGCCUAU
This is a long non-coding RNA of Topomyia yanbarensis, 318 nucleotides long. RefSeq lists it as uncharacterized. The transcript has 3 exons. Lineage: Eukaryota; Metazoa; Arthropoda; Insecta; Diptera; Culicidae. The record is from RefSeq and is a predicted model, not a curated record.